AGAGUUUGAUCAUGGCUCAGAACGAACGCUGGCGGCGUACUUAACACAUGCAAGUCGGACGAGAAAGGAGACUUCGGUCUCUGAGUACAGUGGCGCACGGGUGCGUAACACGUAAGUAAUCUACCCCGAACCCUGGGAUAACCCUCCGAAAGGAGGGCUAAUACUAGAUAGAGUCCCCGAGGUAUAGGCCGCGGGGGGAAAACGGGCCUCUGUUUCAUGCUCGUGAUUCGGGAUGAGCUUGCGGCCCAUUAGCUAGUUGGUAAGGUAAUGGCCUACCAAGGCAACGAUGGGUAGCUGGUCUGAGAGGAUGAUCAGCCACACUGGCACUGAGACACGGGCCAGACUCCUACGGGAGGCAGCAGUGGGGAAUUUUGCGCAAUGGGCGAAAGCCUGACGCAGUAACGCCGCGUGGAGGAUGAAGGCCUUCGGGUUGUAAACUCCUGUCAGGAGGAACGACGGGGAAAGGGUGAUAAACCCUUCCCUCCAGACGGUACCUCCAAAGGAAGCCCCGGCUAAUUCCGUGCCAGCAGCCGCGGUAAUACGGAAGGGGCAAGCGUUGUUCGGAAUCAUUGGGCGUAAAGGGCGCGUAGGUGGUUCUGUAUGUCUACCGUGAAAGCGUACGGCUCAACCGUAUUUUGUCGGUGGAAACUGCAGGACUUGAGGCUGGGAGGGGCUGGUGGAAUUCCCUGUGUAGCGGUGAAAUGCGUAGAGAUGGGGGAGAACACUCGUGGCGAAGGCGGCCAGCUAGACCAGUUCUGACACUGAGGCGCGACAGCGUGGGGAGCAAACAGGAUUAGAUACCCCGGUAGUCC
RNAcentral lists this ribosomal RNA (812 nucleotides) under uncultured bacterium. Its description in RNAcentral is "bacterial SSU rRNA". It matches the Rfam family "Bacterial small subunit ribosomal RNA", at positions 8 to 796 of the family's 1533-position model. The record is from RNAcentral.